RNAcentral lists this ribosomal RNA (490 nucleotides) under uncultured bacterium. RNAcentral's name for it is "partial 16S ribosomal RNA". It matches the Rfam family "Bacterial small subunit ribosomal RNA", at positions 30 to 507 of the family's 1533-position model. The record is from RNAcentral.
AUUGAACGCUGGCGGCAGGCCUAACACAUGCAAGUCGAACGGAAACAGGAAGCAGCUUGCUGCUUUGCGGACGCGUCGCGGGCGUGUGAGAAAUGUCUGUGACACUGCCUGAUGGAUGGGGUUAACUAGUGGAAACGGUACCUAAAACCGCAUACCGGCGGAAGACCAAGGAUGGGGACCUUCGGGCCUCUUUGCUUCGGCUGAGCCCUGGUGGGAUUAGCUUGUUGGUGGGGUAACGGCUUACCAAGGCGACGAUCCGUAGCUGGUCUGAGAGGAUGAACAGCCACACUGGAACUGAGACACGGUCCAGACUCCUACGGGAGGCAGCAGUGGGGAAUAUUGCACAAUGGGCGAAAGCCUGAUGCAGCCAUGCCGCGUGUAUGAAGAAGGCCUUCGGAUUGUAAAGUACUUUCAGUGGGGAGGAAGGGAGGAAAGUUAAUACCUUUGCGCAUUGACGUUACCCGCAGAAGAAGCACCGGCUAACUCCGUG